Misgurnus anguillicaudatus (oriental weatherfish) is the source of this 523-nucleotide long non-coding RNA. RefSeq lists it as uncharacterized. The record is from RefSeq and is a predicted model, not a curated record. NCBI's taxonomy places the organism in Eukaryota, Metazoa, Chordata, Actinopteri, Cypriniformes, Cobitidae.
CUUGACUCAAGGACAGGAAGUAACAGAUGUUGACUGAAAGGUUACAGGCUGAACAUAAGAGGACACAGCACAAAUGUUUCAUAUUCACUCAUCUCUCUAAGUCUCUCUGCUUUGUCGAUGAUGACGCCAAUGAAUAAAUUCAGGGUAAAGAAGGACCCAAAAAUGAUGAAGAUGACAAAGUAGAGGUACAUGUAGAGGUUUAUCUCCUUAAUGGGCUGCUCUUCGACCUGACACACAGAGCUCCACUGCUGAGGAGGAUCAUGAAGAUGAUGAAGGUCUCAAACCAGCUGUGCUCCACAAUCUGAUAGCAGGUCUUCCUUAACCUCCACCACAUCUGUCCCAGACCUUGUGUAGUGUUAAUAUUACAACACUUACACCGUCGCAGGCAAACUUCAGGGAAACACUCCUCUGGGUCCAUGGCAUCAUCUGCUAUCUCAGAAUCUUCUUCCUCAUCCUCCCCUGGCUUCCUUAGGUCCACAGUACUUCCCUCUGACAGACUUAUCACUUCCUGGUAAACCAAACA